This 170-nucleotide ribosomal RNA is filed under the name Elytraria acaulis. Its description in RNAcentral is "5.8S ribosomal RNA". The stretch from base 1 to 79 matches the Rfam family "5.8S ribosomal RNA", at positions 78 to 154 of the family's 154-position model. Lineage: Eukaryota; Viridiplantae; Streptophyta; Magnoliopsida; Lamiales; Acanthaceae. The record is from RNAcentral.
AAUCCCGUGAACCAUCGAGUCUUUGAACGCAAGUUGCGCCCGAAGCCAUUAGGCCGAGGGCACGUCUGCCUGGGCGUCACGCAUCGCGUCACCCCCCAACCCCGCUCAAACGAGCGGACAACGGGGGUGGAGAAUGGCCUCCCGUGAGCCUCGCGGCAUGCGGCCGGCCC